This 30-nucleotide non-coding RNA is filed under the name Mus musculus (house mouse). The record is from RNAcentral. Lineage: Eukaryota; Metazoa; Chordata; Mammalia; Rodentia; Muridae.
UAAAGAAACUCUUACUGCAUGAAGCUAUGG